AAGGGAGACCUAAUUCGGGUAGGAGACGAAAAAAAAGUAGUCGCUACCAAGAAUCGAUCCCAAAAGGUCGGAGCGAGGCGAAAUUGGCUUUCAAACUAGGUUCUGGGUUCACACAAGACCUGAAUCAGGAGCAAGGGCUAUUAGCUCAGGUGGUUAGAGCGCACCCCUGAUAAGGGUGAGGUCCCUGGUUCGAGUCCAGGAUGGCCCACCUGUACAGGUGGCCAAAACCAAGAAAAGAAGCGAGGAAUCAGCACCUGCUCUUACCUACAUAGUAAGAGAGAAUGCUGGCUCUGAGUACAGAGUCCAGAGGAACCUUGAAAACUGCAUAGAGCUAGGUGAAAAAGCCAAAAAAGAAGACCGCAA
RNAcentral lists this transfer RNA (363 nucleotides) under Microcystis aeruginosa MP07D10. RNAcentral's name for it is "partial 16S-23S ribosomal RNA intergenic spacer". The stretch from base 135 to 208 matches the Rfam family "tRNA". The record is from RNAcentral. Lineage: Bacteria; Bacillati; Cyanobacteriota; Cyanophyceae; Chroococcales; Microcystaceae.